GGCGACCCGUCUGUCUCAUUCUUUUUUUCUUUUUUAAAUGUAACCUGGUUUAUUGGGCUCUCGGCGUAUUCUUGCGUUCCUUCUGCACUGGGACAAGACACCACUGCACUAUUGGACUACGGCAAGCUGGUACCGUCCGGUGGAGCUUCAUACAGGAACUACUGCCUUACCUGCUGGUGUCACAACGUUGGAUGAACGCACAAAAAGCGCGGAACGAGCUUUUAUAUAUAGCAAAAUAAAUAUUUCCUCAUUGCACAAA
This is a long non-coding RNA of Dermacentor silvarum, 259 nucleotides long. RefSeq lists it as uncharacterized. The record is from RefSeq and is a predicted model, not a curated record. Lineage: Eukaryota; Metazoa; Arthropoda; Arachnida; Ixodida; Ixodidae. The transcript is spliced from 2 exons.